UUAAGCGACUAAGCGUACACGGUGGAUGCCCUGGCAGUCAGAGGCGAUGAAGGACGUGCUAAUCUGCGAUAAGCGUCGGUAAGGUGAUAUGAACCGUUAUAACCGGCGAUUUCCGAAUGGGGAAACCCAGUGUGUUUCGACACACUAUCAUUAACUGAAUCCAUAGGUUAAUGAGGCGAACCGGGGGAACUGAAACAUCUAAGUACCCCGAGGAAAAGAAAUCAACCGAGAUUCCCCCAGUAGCGGCGAGCGAACGGGGAGCAGCCCAGAGCCUGAAUCAGUGUGUGUGUUAGUGGAAGCGUCUGGAAAGGCGCGCGAUACAGGGUGACAGCCCCGUACACAAAAAUGCACAUGCUGUGAGCUCGAUGAGUAGGGCGGGACACGUGGUAUCCUGUCUGAAUAUGGGGGGACCAUCCUCCAAGGCUAAAUACUCCUGACUGACCGAUAGUGAACCAGUACCGUGAGGGAAAGGCGAAAAGAACCCCGGCGAGGGGAGUGAAAAAGAACCUGAAACCGUGUACGUACAAGCAGUGGGAGCACGCUUAGGCGUGUGACUGCGUACCUUUUGUAUAAUGGGUCAGCGACUUAUAUUCUGUAGCAAGGUUAACCGAAUAGGGGAGCCGAAGGGAAACCGAGUCUUAACUGGGCGUUAAGUUGCAGGGUAUAGACCCGAAACCCGGUGAUCUAGCCAUGGGCAGGUUGAAGGUUGGGUAACACUAACUGGAGGACCGAACCGACUAAUGUUGAAAAAUUAGCGGAUGACUUGUGGCUGGGGGUGAAAGGCCAAUCAAACCGGGAGAUAGCUGGUUCUCCCCGAAAGCUAUUUAGGUAGCGCCUCGUGAAUUCAUCUCCGGGGGUAGAGCACUGUUUCGGCAAGGGGGUCAUCCCGACUUACCAACCCGAUGCAAACUGCGAAUACCGGAGAAUGUUAUCACGGGAGACACACGGCGGGUGCUAACGUCCGUCGUGAAGAGGGAAACAACCCAGACCGCCAGCUAAGGUCCCAAAGUCAUGGUUAAGUGGGAAACGAUGUGGGAAGGCCCAGACAGCCAGGAUGUUGGCUUAGAAGCAGCCAUCAUUUAAAGAAAGCGUAAUAGCUCACUGGUCGAGUCGGCCUGCGCGGAAGAUGUAACGGGGCUAAACCAUGCACCGAAGCUGCGGCAGCGACACUAUGUGUUGUUGGGUAGGGGAGCGUUCUGUAAGCCUGUGAAGGUGUAGUGUGAGGUAUGCUGGAGGUAUCAGAAGUGCGAAUGCUGACAUAAGUAACGAUAAAGCGGGUGAAAAGCCCGCUCGCCGGAAGACCAAGGGUUCCUGUCCAACGUUAAUCGGGGCAGGGUGAGUCGACCCCUAAGGCGAGGCCGAAAGGCGUAGUCGAUGGGAAACAGGUUAAUAUUCCUGUACUUGGUGUUACUGCGAAGGGGGGACGGAGAAGGCUAUGUUGGCCGGGCGACGGUUGUCCCGGUUUAAGCGUGUAGGCUGGUUUUCCAGGCAAAUCCGGAAAAUCAAGGCUGAGGCGUGAUGACGAGGCACUACGGUGCUGAAGCAACAAAUGCCCUGCUUCCAGGAAAAGCCUCUAAGCAUCAGGUAACAUCAAAUCGUACCCCAAACCGACACAGGUGGUCAGGUAGAGAAUACCAAGGCGCUUGAGAGAACUCGGGUGAAGGAACUAGGCAAAAUGGUGCCGUAACUUCGGGAGAAGGCACGCUGAUAUGUAGGUGAAGCGACUUGCUCGUGGAGCUGAAAUCAGUCGAAGAUACCAGCUGGCUGCAACUGUUUAUUAAAAACACAGCACUGUGCAAACACGAAAGUGGACGUAUACGGUGUGACGCCUGCCCGGUGCCGGAAGGUUAAUUGAUGGGGUCAGCGCAAGCGAAGCUCUUGAUCGAAGCCCCGGUAAACGGCGGCCGUAACUAUAACGGUCCUAAGGUAGCGAAAUUCCUUGUCGGGUAAGUUCCGACCUGCACGAAUGGCGUAAUGAUGGCCAGGCUGUCUCCACCCGAGACUCAGUGAAAUUGAACUCGCUGUGAAGAUGCAGUGUACCCGCGGCAAGACGGAAAGACCCCGUGAACCUUUACUAUAGCUUGACACUGAACAUUGAGCCUUGAUGUGUAGGAUAGGUGGGAGGCUUUGAAGUGUGGACGCCAGUCUGCAUGGAGCCGACCUUGAAAUACCACCCUUUAAUGUUUGAUGUUCUAACGUGGACCCGUGAUCCGGGUUGCGGACAGUGUCUGGUGGGUAGUUUGACUGGGGCGGUCUCCUCCUAAAGAGUAACGGAGGAGCACGAAGGUUGGCUAAUCCUGGUCGGACAUCAGGAGGUUAGUGCAAUGGCAUAAGCCAGCUUGACUGCGAGCGUGACGGCGCGAGCAGGUGCGAAAGCAGGUCAUAGUGAUCCGGUGGUUCUGAAUGGAAGGGCCAUCGCUCAACGGAUAAAAGGUACUCCGGGGAUAACAGGCUGAUACCGCCCAAGAGUUCAUAUCGACGGCGGUGUUUGGCACCUCGAUGUCGGCUCAUCACAUCCUGGGGCUGAAGUAGGUCCCAAGGGUAUGGCUGUUCGCCAUUUAAAGUGGUACGCGAGCUGGGUUUAGAACGUCGUGAGACAGUUCGGUCCCUAUCUGCCGUGGGCGCUGGAGAACUGAGGGGGGCUGCUCCUAGUACGAGAGGACCGGAGUGGACGCAUCACUGGUGUUCGGGUUGUCAUGCCAAUGGCACUGCCCGGUAGCUAAAUGCGGAAGAGAUAAGUGCUGAAAGCAUCUAAGCACGAAACUUGCCCCGAGAUGAGUUCUCCCUGACUCCUUGAGAGUCCUGAAGGAACGUUGAAGACGACGACGUUGAUAGGCCGGGUGUGUAAGCGCAGCGAUGCGUUGAGCUAACCGGUACUAAUGAACCGUGAGGCUUAACCUU
RNAcentral lists this ribosomal RNA (2901 nucleotides) under Escherichia coli. Its description in RNAcentral is "bacterial LSU rRNA". It matches the Rfam family "Bacterial large subunit ribosomal RNA". Lineage: Bacteria; Pseudomonadati; Pseudomonadota; Gammaproteobacteria; Enterobacterales; Enterobacteriaceae. The record is from RNAcentral.